Panthera uncia (snow leopard) is the source of this 426-nucleotide long non-coding RNA. RefSeq lists it as uncharacterized. The record is from RefSeq and is a predicted model, not a curated record. The transcript has 3 exons. Lineage: Eukaryota; Metazoa; Chordata; Mammalia; Carnivora; Felidae.
GGUUCCGCGGUCACACUGGUUCCGAUUAGAAAGCGGGCUGGCUCCGGGGUCGGACUGUGCCGGGCUUAGAAACCGGGCUGGGUCCAGUGUCAACUGGGUCCAGGUGCAGACCAGUUCCGACUUAGAAACCGGGCUGGGUCCAGGUUUCUAGUGACCAGGAUGAAACCCACUGGGACAGCCCUGUCACUUUGGAGCCUGCAGACAGGAUCCUGGGAAAACUAACAGAAGCCAGCAAAAGGCAUCAAAGCUGAACAUGAUGGUCAUGCUGUUCCAUGCAGCCCUGAAAGACAAACAAAAGAACAAACACACCCCAACGACUUACAACCUGGAGCCAAGGGAGCUCUCCAGGUUGCACGAUGCCUCUAUGAUCCUCCCCUUAAAUAUAAAAGCUGCUUUCUUCAGUAACUGAAAACAAUCAUAACUGUC